Agelaius phoeniceus (red-winged blackbird) is the source of this 125-nucleotide non-coding RNA. NCBI's taxonomy places the organism in Eukaryota, Metazoa, Chordata, Aves, Passeriformes, Icteridae. The record is from RefSeq and is a predicted model, not a curated record.
AUUGGCUUUUUUUGGAGGCAGUGCUACUUCUCUGCCUGACAAGGGUUUGAAAGUAUUCUAGAAGGCCUGUUUGGACCUGGAUUAUUAAAAGAUCUCAGUUUGUUUAAAGACUGUGAGCCUGAAGG